CAAAGAAUAGUUUAGUUUAGAAUCCCUAGCUUUGGGAGUUAGGGGNGG
Molecule: transfer RNA, 48 nt
Filed under: Macropodus opercularis (paradise fish)
Lineage: Eukaryota; Metazoa; Chordata; Actinopteri; Anabantiformes; Osphronemidae
Description: partial tRNA-Pro
Source: RNAcentral